RNAcentral lists this small nuclear RNA (140 nucleotides) under Aotus nancymaae (Ma's night monkey). RNAcentral's name for it is "U4 spliceosomal RNA (ENSANAG00000009116.1)". It matches the Rfam family "U4 spliceosomal RNA". Rfam says of the family: U4 small nuclear RNA (U4 snRNA) is a component of the major U2-dependent spliceosome. The structure of U4 snRNA from yeast and human has been reported. The record is from Rfam by way of RNAcentral. Lineage: Eukaryota; Metazoa; Chordata; Mammalia; Primates; Aotidae.
UGCUUUGCGCAGUGGCAGUAUCGUAGCCAAUGAGGUUUAUCUGAGGUGCAAUUAUUGCUAAUUGAAACUUCUCCCAAUACUCCGCCAUAACAACUUGCAAUACAGUCGGCACUGGCAAUUUUUGACAGUCUCUAUGGAGA